This 223-nucleotide unclassified non-coding RNA is filed under the name fungal sp. RNAcentral's name for it is "partial internal transcribed spacer region". The stretch from base 1 to 46 matches the Rfam family "Eukaryotic small subunit ribosomal RNA", at positions 1786 to 1831 of the family's 1831-position model. The record is from RNAcentral. Lineage: Eukaryota; Fungi.
AAGUCGUAACAAGGUUUCCGUAGGUGAACCUGCGGAAGGAUCAUUAUCGUGGGGCUCCGGCCCCGUCGAGAUAUCACCCUUGCCUUUUUUCGAGCACCGUUCCGUUUCCUCGGCAGGCCCGCCUGCCAACGGGGACCCCAACCAAACCCUUUUGCGUACCUGCAACCGUCUGAGAAACAAUGCAAAACAAUCAAAACUUUCAACAAUGGAUCUCUUGGUUCUG